GGGGGAGUGCCAGAUUUUGGGCUGUGUCCCCUGGCGCCCUGGGCUCUGGGGCCUGCACCACUGGAAUCGUACUCCUGGGCACUGUGCGCACAGCU
RNAcentral lists this microRNA precursor (95 nucleotides) under Canis lupus familiaris (dog). Its description in RNAcentral is "mir-8799 microRNA precursor family". It matches the Rfam family "mir-8799 microRNA precursor family". Lineage: Eukaryota; Metazoa; Chordata; Mammalia; Carnivora; Canidae. The record is from Rfam by way of RNAcentral.